Sus scrofa (pig) is the source of this 1614-nucleotide non-coding RNA. Lineage: Eukaryota; Metazoa; Chordata; Mammalia; Artiodactyla; Suidae. The record is from RefSeq and is a predicted model, not a curated record.
CUGCCGCCUUUCCCUCCGCCGCCGCUGCCUCCCAACGUGCCGGCGCCACCCCUCCCGCCGCCGCUCCCACCCUCGCCGCCGCCACCGCCGCCUUCUCUGGCCCCUCUGCCACCUGUACCCGACCCAGGCCCUCUGUCCCUGAGAGGAGGCCGUGUUCGGUCUCCUUCCUGGGCCAGGGGCACAGCCAUGGCGGACGGUGGCGGCGGCAGCGGGGGCACCGGUGCGGUGGGCGGCGGCGGCUCGGGCCAGGCCUCGGCGGGGGCGGCGACCGGCGCGACGGGGGCUGGCGGAAGCGGCGGCCCCAUCAACCCGGCUUCGCUGCCUCCCGGCGACCCGCAGCUCAUCGCUCUCAUCGUGGAGCAGCUCAAGAGCCGGGGCUUGUUUGACAGUUUCCGCCGGGACUGCCUGGCCGACGUGGACACCAAGCCAGCUUACCAAAACCUGAGGCAGAAAGUGGAUAAUUUUGUGUCAACACACCUGGACAAGCAGGAAUGGAAUCCUACGAUGAACAAAAACCAGUUGCGAAAUGGUCUGCGGCAGAGUGUGGUUCAGUCAGGGAUGUUGGAAGCUGGAGUGGACAGAAUUAUUUCCCAGGUGGUGGAUCCCAAACUAAACCACAUCUUCAGGCCACAGAUAGAACGAGCAAUUCAUGAGUUCCUGGCAGCCCAGAAAAAAGAAGCUGUGCCAGCACCCCCUCCAGAGCCUGAAAGCCAGGACCCUCCAGCUCCAUCCCAGGAUGCCUCCUAAGGUCCAGUAUCCAUCUUUUGUCCAGGAGCAUUCACCUCUGGCUUGUAGAUAUAGAAAAUGGAUAGAAAAGGGAAUAUGCCUCACACAUUUUGGAAGCUCCACUAAAUUAGUGGUGAAGACCUGGAUUCAGUGACAUAAGAGUACGACUUUAGAAUGAAGACAGGCCAAGGUCAUCACUGACGUCAAGAUCCAACCUGGAUUGUGGGGCAGUGCCCAGACAGAAUAGGGAACGAGUGUAGCAGUAGGAAAGUUGACACGUGUGCCCCCACAGUGUGCUGCCAUCUGGCCAGUUUGUCUAAGCUGAUGACACCCAGUAGACACUACAGAUAUAUUAAGAAACACUACAUCAACCUGGGGUUGUCCUGAAACAAACCUUUAUACUUGAACUUGGAGACUGCGUGCAGAUUUUAGGGUUUGUGCCUGGGGAUAAGCAAACGUUACCAAUGAAGGAACGGAUCUAGUCCCAAGAUGCAAUUUCAAAGAAUGACAGUAACGGUUAGUCAGGAGUGGGCAUUUGACAGUGCUUAUUUGAUACUGUUUCUCAGAGUUGCAAGUUAGAGUGUAUAAGCCUUUAGCAUCAAGGAGCUUUGAGACUGCUGCGACCCUCUGGUACGUGACUCUUGUAGCUUCAGUUCCCUUUCCCCGGUAAGCGGUGUCAAAACGCGGACCCUAGAAAUCAUGGAGAAAUGCAGGCUUAGGUGGAAGGAAAAACUUCUGCAGGUGCUCUGUGCAAGGCUUGCUUCUUCCUAUCCUGCAAAGGCUAGUGAGUCCUAAGUGUGUGUAUUUGAUUCUCAUGUAUGUGUUUUUUAGAAGGUGAAUAAUCAAUAAGUGGCUUAAGUUUUGUAAUAAAACCAUUUGAUACUCUUA